Bombus pyrosoma is the source of this 4483-nucleotide long non-coding RNA. RefSeq lists it as uncharacterized. The transcript is spliced from 3 exons. The record is from RefSeq and is a predicted model, not a curated record. Lineage: Eukaryota; Metazoa; Arthropoda; Insecta; Hymenoptera; Apidae.
CUUAAUACCACCGAUGAGGUACGGAAUAGACGUGACACCAUUGAUUCAGGACAGGACAGACGUGACAUCACCGACGAGCAUUGAGCAAGUAGAGACAAGCCGAAAUUACAGAUUUGGUGUGUUCGAAUUUGAGUUGCAGAGAAAACCACCGCUCGCAAUUUUGGGUGAUGCAGUAAUGAGGACACCUGCUCGCUGUGAAAAUCCAUUCAUUAGCUACGAAUCUGGGCCUUCAUUAGUUCCCUUUUUCAUGUUAGUUUUAAUAACAACUCAAUGCCGGUCAUAAAAAUGAGUACCUCUACCAUCUGGGAAUUAUAGAGCCGGACCUAAAACGACGCGCGCGAGUCAUCGAAAUAAACACUAUUGAAGUUAAACACCAAGUACUUUAAUAACACCCUAUACGUUCUGUUUCGACCGUUCGCGGAGAGACGCGCUCGCGAAAUAGUACGUCAACGAAAAUUCCCGUUACAAUUAGAUAAUCGACAUCACGAACUGAUCGAUCCCCUUAUUUCUGUUAGGAUAAUAGGGGUGGUUCGAUUGAGUAUACACUGAAUUAACAGGUAUAAAUUACAGUUUAUUCAAACAACUAGUUGACUAAAGAGAUAUAAAUUGAUAGAGUAUAAUUAGGUUUCGAUUGGUAAACAAAGUUACAGUGUAGAGUAAACAAUGUAAGCUUAGAGGGUGACAGGUCAGAAAAUGUAUAACGACUGACUUUCUGUGAAGGUAAUGCUGUGGAAGAAAACUUGUGAUGGGUGGGUCUAAGGACACGAAAUGAGCUGAUUUGUUAAGGACAAGUUUUCGUUAGGAGAGUGAGGGAAAUAGACUUAUCAAUUGGCUAAUUUUCUAGGUUGGUGGGUGAGGAAGAGUGCUAACCACCCCGAGAGAAAGUUGCUAGUGGGAAGCAUCAUACGUGAGAAAAACCAACUUUCCCGUGUCAACCUGUAGUAGACAAUAAAUUUAAAGAACAUUAAGACCUUAACUAUGAAAUUCCUGAGAUUUAUGGAGGGUCUUUAAGAAUAUUGAGGGUACGCAGUUGUUGAGGAAAAUGUUAGGUUGGUAUGAUCAUUAGUUCCUACAUGCAGAGUUGGUACGACUACUAAAGACGUUCUUUUGUUUCCCCGUCCGCCACGUGUUAAUUAUCAGAGAGUAUCCGGUGUGUUGUAAUGGCUGUACAUGGUGGUGAAAUACAGAGUAUACAAAAGUAAUCUGUGUGAAUCAAUUAAAUAUCGAACCUCAAAACCUAUUUAAUAACAACAGUAAGGAGAAGGUAGAGAGUCACCAGACGUAACAUAUCCUCCACUUCAAUGUUAUAUUCCAGAAAUAAUAAAAAUUCUAAGAAACAAUGACAUAUUGCUGAGAUAUGACUUCAAAUUUUUAGUAUUUUCAAAUAUUUACAUACAUUGGCUUGUUUAUUUACAUUUUUCGUUUGUUUAUUUAUUUAUCUUUAUCAAUUAAUUUAUGCUGAAUUUUUAAAGCCUCACUUCGCAUUGCUAAAGAAACGUGUGGCCUCGUGUUAUCGUGGUGGAACACGACGCCAUGUCUGCUCACCACCUCAGGACGUUUUGUGAUAAUGGCUUCCCUAAGUUUUUCGAGUUGGGUGCAAUAUUUUUCACUGUUGAUUGUUUGCCCUUCCGGAAGUAAUUCGUAGUAGAGGAUACCCUUCCAGUCCCACAAAUUUUUUUUUUUUUAUUUGGUAGACUAUUUACAAUCAAUUCUCAUUUUCUCUCCUCUCCUCGAGCGGUGAUAUCCCUUCCUUUUGGCGGACUGGCACACCUCCGCUUGGAUGGCUACAGAGACACGGUAAUUUUUUUCUUUCUAGAUGGUCUGUCCAUAUUAAUUAAUUAAGAAAAUAGAAUAGUCCGGGGAUAUAUCCAAGUUCGACGUAAAUUCAUUCCUCCUUUCCCGUUUCCAUUUCCGUUGCCAAGUUCGUCAUCAGUUCGUUCUUCCAUUCUCAUGUCCAUACCCGCAGCCAAUGUCAUCAUAAUUGUAUACCAAAUCUGUAUACAUACUACGAGAAUGUAACGUCAAUCUACAUCAGAGACCAGACUACACACCGCGGGCAGGAUGAUAGCCUGAUGUCUACACAUCCUUGGCGCGUACUCCCAAUAGUCUUAAGGACCCACCAUAGGUCUUGGCAUUUUUCAUAGUUAAGAUCUUCAGACCAAACAAGUAUCUUUUAUUUUACGUGCCCCUUUUACAUUUAUUGUUUACUACGGGUUAACACGGGAAAGUUGGUUUUCCUCACGUUCGGUAUCUUCCGUUAGCAACUUUCUCUCGAGGGCGGCUAAAACUCUUCCUGGUCCACCAACCUUCUUAUUAUCCAAUCGGAAGCGGUAUUUACUGCCCUAACCAAAAUUGUCAUCAACAAAUCCGAUGGUCCCGUGUCCUUAGACACACCCAUCCCUAGCUUUCCUCAGACACAGUAUCGUCAGUAAAACUUCACUUAUUCUGUAUCCUUAGAAUAGUCAACAUAUCUUUACCGAUUUCUAUCCUCAGACCAGUCGCAUACUUGAUCAGUGUAUACUCAAGUGUGAAUAUUAAUUGAAAAAUAAAGUUUAAUAAAAAAAGCAAAGUUAAUAAUUGUGUUACGGCUCAACCUUCUUGUUUUAUCAUCUAACCCUCAAGUUUACGUGACAACAACGUGUCGACAGGGCCUUAUCUGAAUGUUUGUUUGACUUUACCCGAAGGUCGCUAAUACCGGAUAGAUUCAAAUUAAAUGAUUAAUAACCGUUAUACUUUUCGUUUCUCACACAAUUUUUAUUAUAUCCUCCACUUACGUAUUCUUGUUCAGUGAGGAUAUUACCACCCAAUUACGCACAAACGUCUUGCAGCUCACCCACUCAAUCAUCAUACACGCCAAUUCUAUCUCCAUUGCCACACACUCACUCAUCCCCGCAUCACCCAACAAUAUUCCACCCCCAUGCAUUCUCCAGUCACUUCAGACUACUCAUACCCCUAAUUUCAUCUCACUAUUUCCUUGUAAUUAUUAUUACACUUCCCACCACAUUAAGCAAUUACAACCCAUUAGAAUCACACCGAAACUGAAACACUCCUACAUCCUCGUACAUACACCCGGCUAGCGGAAGCAACCCGUCAACAUGCCCGCUCUCCAACGCGUCCCGAAUGAGACUCUAACGGUAGAGUAAUCUGGUGGUUUGUUUACUUAAGCAAAAUGAGAUAAGGUCCCGAGUGGCGAACAUGAAAAGAACUUUCCGGGCGACCUAAUAAUAUAAUAAACUAAUUCUAAAAGUACUAUAAUCAUAUUUGAAUAAUAUUAAUUAAAGAUACACUUAUUUGAUGCUGUAGAAAUUGGUAAAAUUAUUUAAGUAUUACCUGUACCAAUUAAUGCUUUGCUCUAGUGAGAAGAAUUUGCGAACCUUUAUUCAUUCUCUCUGUCUAGCACCAUUCGUAUCGUCUGUUUUAGUCUCACAGUAUUGCCUUCUAUGUCUAGAACCAUUCAUAUCCUGUCCUUAUCACAUACUAUUGUCCUCUCUAUCUAGAACCGCUUGUAUUUCUGACCUUAUCGUACACUGUCGCCCUUCUGUCUAAUACGAGAGCAUAUGUUUGUCCUUAUCGUACAAUAUUACAUUCCUUAUCUACGAGCAAGCCAUGUUUUGCCACCUAUCAUGCUUCAAGUUGUAGUUAUUUCCCUUACGCAUUAGUGUACGAUAGAAACGGAUACAUAUGCUGUAUUGCACAAAAAGAGCGACAGUGUGCGACAAGGAAAGAUGUAUAUCUUGUGUUAGACGAAGAGGGCGACACUGUACAACGACAGGAGAAAAUUAGUGGAAACGGGAGCAAGCUAGUGAAAAGGUGUGGAAACAGGCGGAAACUGGCGGAGACGCGUGGAAACAGGUAGAAGCUGGAGGAGACGUAUGAAAACGCGCAUAAACGGAAAAAGAUGCGUAAAAAGGAAUGUUAGCGGGAGGAGAUGCGUGAAAAUGCAUUGAGUUUCACAUCACCACCAGUUAAUAGUUGAUGCACCUCAAAUAUAUCGUCUGUGCUUAGUGGUUCUUAAGAGAACGAUAUACAUAUUGUAUUUAAUUCAUUCAUCAUUUAAUUUAGAAGAAUAUAUAGUAACUAAUGAGAACAUUGUGGAAAAUGGUCACGUUUAUUUCGUAUCUCUUUUGUGGCUAUACAUCAGUACAUACACAUAUAUAUGCAUAGGCACUAUGUAUAAAAUACAUGCAUGUGUAAGACAGGAUGGAAAUAUAAUAUUUAUGAAUAAAAGAGUGUAUAUACAAACAAGUAGCUUGUUUAAUAAUUAUAGUAUUUGUUAAACAUUAACAUAAGUAUGUUACAAAACAGAAAUGUACUACUGUACAUUUGUACAAUUGUUUUUAUGCUGGUACUUGGAGUGUGAUAAUUGGUAAAUGCCAUAUGUCAAAUAUUUUGAUCAUUUAAACAUGGGGAAGAUGUUCUCCCUGUGGAUGGAAACCAUUCUCGUCGGCAACGUAGUUCACAGUGUAUGGAACAUUGGUAUUUG